Molecule: ribosomal RNA, 395 nt
Filed under: uncultured bacterium
Lineage: Bacteria
Description: partial 16S ribosomal RNA
Rfam family: Bacterial small subunit ribosomal RNA
Source: RNAcentral
AUACGUAGGGUGCAAGCGUUAAUCGGAAUUACUGGGCGUAAAGCGUGCGCAGGCGGUUUUGUAAGACAGUGGUGAAAUCCCCGGGCUCAACCUGGGAACUGCCAUUGUGACUGCAAGGCUGGAGUGGGGCAGAGGGGGAUGGAAUUCCGCGUGGAGCAGGGCAAUGCGUAGAUAUGCGGAGGAACACCGAUGGCGAAGGCAAUCCCCUGGGCCUGCACUGACGCUCAUGCACGAAAGCGUGGGGAGCAAACAGGAUUAGAUACCCUGGUAGUCCACGCCCUAAACGAUGUCAACUGGUUGUUGGGGAUUUAUUUUCUCAGUAACGAAGCUAACGCGUGAAGUUGACCGCCUGGGGAGUACGGCCGCAAGGUUAAAACUCAAAUGAAUUGGCGGGG